This 429-nucleotide ribosomal RNA is filed under the name Actinomycetes bacterium. RNAcentral's name for it is "Actinobacteria bacterium partial 16S ribosomal RNA". It matches the Rfam family "Bacterial small subunit ribosomal RNA", at positions 355 to 776 of the family's 1533-position model. Lineage: Bacteria; Bacillati; Actinomycetota; Actinomycetes. The record is from RNAcentral.
UAGGGAAUCUUCCGCAAUGGGCGAAAGCUUGACGGAGCAACGCCGCGUGAGUGAUGAAGGUCUUCGGAUCGUAAAACUCUGUUAUUAGGGAAGAACAAAUGUGUAAGUAACUAUGCACGUCUUGACGGUACCUAAUCAGAAAGCCACGGCUAACUACGUGCCAGCAGCCGCGGUAAUACGUAGGUGGCAAGCGUUAUCCGGAAUUAUUGGUCGUAAAGCGCGCGUAGGCGGUUUUUUAAGUCUGAUGUGAAAGCCCACGGCUCAACCGUGGAGGGUCAUUGGAAACUGGAAAACUUGAGUGCAGAAGAGGAAAGUGGAAUUCCAUGUGUAGCGGUGAAAUGCGCAGAGAUAUGGAGGAACACCAGUGGCGAAGGCGACUUUCUGGUCUGUAACUGACGCUGAUGUGCGAAAGCGUGGGGAUCAAACAGG